RNAcentral lists this ribosomal RNA (254 nucleotides) under uncultured bacterium. RNAcentral describes it as "partial 16S ribosomal RNA". It matches the Rfam family "Bacterial small subunit ribosomal RNA", at positions 524 to 776 of the family's 1533-position model. The record is from RNAcentral.
UACGUAGGCAGCGAGCGUUGUUCGGAGUUACUGGGCGUAAAGAGUGCGUAGGCGGUUUUCUAAGUUUGGUGUGAAAUCUCCCGGCUCAACUGGGAGGGUGCGCCGAAGACUGGAAGGCUCAGAGUGUGGGAGAGGUAAGCGGAAUUCCUGGUGUAGCGGUGAAAUGCGUAGAUAUCAGGAGGAACACCUGCGGUGUAGACGGCUUACUGGACCAUAACUGACGCUGAGGCACGAAAGCGUGGGUAGCAAACAGG